RNAcentral lists this ribosomal RNA (496 nucleotides) under uncultured bacterium. RNAcentral describes it as "bacterial SSU rRNA". It matches the Rfam family "Bacterial small subunit ribosomal RNA", at positions 30 to 518 of the family's 1533-position model. The record is from RNAcentral.
UGAACGCUAGCUACAGGCUAACACAUGCAAGUCGAGGGGCAGCAUGAUCGAAGCUGCUUGAUGAUGGCGACCGGCGCACGGGUGAGUAACGCGUACCCAACCUUCCCUAUAGUAGAGAAUAGCCCGGCGAAAGUCGGAUUAAUGCUCUAUGUUGUAUUUAGAGGACAUCUGAAGAAUACCAAAGGUUUACCGCUAUAGGAUGGGGAUGCGUCUGAUUAGGUAGUAGGCGGGGUAACGGCCCACCUAGCCGACGAUCAGUAGGGGUUCUGAGAGGAAGGUCCCCCACAUUGGAACUGAGACACGGUCCAAACUCCUACGGGAGGCAGCAGUGAGGAAUAUUGGUCAAUGGACGGAAGUCUGAACCAGCCAAGUAAGCGUGCAGGAUGACGGCCCUAUGGGUUGUAAACUGCUUUUAUAUAGGGAUAAAGUCGGGGACGUGUCCCCGUUUGUAGGUACUAUAUGAAUAAGGACCGGCUAAUUCCGUGCCAGCCGCAGC